Molecule: microRNA precursor, 105 nt
Filed under: Podarcis lilfordi (Lilford's wall lizard)
Lineage: Eukaryota; Metazoa; Chordata; Lepidosauria; Squamata; Lacertidae
Source: RNAcentral
ACUCUUAUUUUGGGUCUUUGAAGUACCAAAACUUCAAGUUACAUAUAAACUCUUAAGUCUAUAUGUAACUUGAAGUUUUGGUACUUCAAAGACCCAAAGUAAGAG